This 450-nucleotide ribosomal RNA is filed under the name uncultured bacterium. RNAcentral's name for it is "bacterial SSU rRNA". It matches the Rfam family "Bacterial small subunit ribosomal RNA", at positions 354 to 796 of the family's 1533-position model. The record is from RNAcentral.
GUCGAGAAUUUUUCACAAUGGGGGAAACCCUGAUGGAGCGACGCCGCGUGGGGGAUGAAGGGCUUCGGCUCGUAAACCCCUGUCAUUUGUGACCAAGGUUGCCGGUUGAACACAUCGGCGGCUUGAUGGUAGCGAAAGAGGAAGGGACGGCUAACUCUGUGCCAGCAGCCGCGGUAAUACAGAGGUCCCAAGCGUUGUUCGGAUUCACUGGGCGUAAAGGGUGCGUAGGUGGUCGAGCAAGUCUGAUGUGAAAUCUUCAAGCUUAACUUGGAAACUGCAUCGGAAACUGCUCGGCUGGAGGAUUGGAGGGGAGACUGGAAUUCUCGGUGUAGCAGUGAAAUGCGUAGAUAUCGAGAGGAACACCAGUGGCGAAGGCGAGUCUCUGGACAAUUCCUGACACUGAGGCACGAAAGCUAGGGGAGCAAACAGGAUUAGAAACCCUAGUAGUCC